RNA transcript from Sapajus apella (tufted capuchin), 1011 nucleotides. It is a transcript of the gene named prothymosin alpha-like, with no coding region annotated. NCBI's taxonomy places the organism in Eukaryota, Metazoa, Chordata, Mammalia, Primates, Cebidae. The record is from RefSeq and is a predicted model, not a curated record. The transcript has a single exon.
UCCUUGCUCACCGCAGCCGCCUCAGCCAGGCGCCUCCUUCCCCGCUGCGGACUCCGGCAGCUUUAUCACCAGAGUCCCUGACUCGCCUUCUUUUUAAUCCCUUGCAUUGGAUCACCGGCGUGCCCCGUCAUGUCAGACGCAGCCGUAGACAUCAGCUCCAAAAUCACCACCAAGGACUUGAAGGAGAAGAAGGAAGUUGUGGAAGAGGUGGAAAAUGGAAGAGAUGCCCCUGCUAACGGGAAUGCUAAUGAGGAAAAUGGGGAGCAGGAGGCUGACAAUGAGGUAGAUGAAGAAGAAGGUGGGGAGGAAGAGGAGGAGGAAGAAAGUGAUGGUGAGGAGGAGGAUGGAGAUGAAGAUCGGAGGCUGAGUCUGCUACGGGCGAGUGGGCAGCUGCAGAUGCUGAGGAUGACUAUGUGGAUACCAAGAAGCAGAAGACUGACGAGGAUGACUAGACAGCAAAAAAGGAAAACUUAAACUAAAAAAAAAAAAAAAAAAGCUGCCGUGACCUCCUCACCCCGACUUCCCAUCUCAGAAUCUAAACAUGGUUGCCUUCAAGUAGAGAGGCCCGCCCACCACGGGCAGCGCCACCCGCAGAUGACCCACCGCGCUCUCCACUACCCAGCCCAAACCGUGAGAAUUUGCAGCAGGGGAGGAAGAAAGCACCAAAACUUCCAAGGCCCUGCUUUUUUUCUUAAAAGUACUUGAAAACGGAAAUUUGUUUGUAUUUUUUAUUUACAUUUUACAUUUUUGUACAUAUUGUUAGGGUCAACCAUUUUUCAUGAUCUCAAAUGACCAAAGCAGCUUUCGGAGCGUUCUGUGUCCUACUUCUGACUUUACUUGUGGUAUGACUAUUUCAUUAUAACCCCAAAGGAGAAAAAAACCUUGUAAAGAAAAGCGAAAAUGACAACUUUCAGAAAAACAAUCGUAUUCUGAGCAUUCCAGUACCUUUUUUGUGUAUGUACUUAGCUGUACUGUAGUUGGUUUGGAUGAGAUGGUUGAAAAGGCCAAAGA